GAUGAACGCUGGCGGCGUGCCUAAUACAUGCAAGUCGAGCGAACAGAUGAGGAGCUUGCUCCUCUGACGUUAGCGGCGGACGGGUGAGUAACACGUGGAUAACCUACCUAUAAGACUGGGAUAACUUCGGGAAACCGGAGCUAAUACCGGAUAAUAUAUUGAACCGCAUGGUUCAAUAGUGAAAGACGGUUUUGCUGUCACUUAUAGAUGGAUCCGCGCCGCAUUAGCUAGUUGGUAAGGUAACGGCUUACCAAGGCAACGAUGCGUAGCCGACCUGAGAGGGUGAUCGGCCACACUGGAACUGAGACACGGUCCAGACUCCUACGGGAGGCAGCAGUAGGGAAUCUUCCGCAAUGGGCGAAAGCCUGACGGAGCAACGCCGCGUGAGUGAUGAAGGUCUUCGGAUCGUAAAACUCUGUUAUUGGGGAAGAACAAAUGUGUAAGUAACUAUGCACGUCUUGGCGGUACCUAAUCAGAAAGCCACGGCUAACUACGUG
RNAcentral lists this ribosomal RNA (497 nucleotides) under uncultured bacterium. Its description in RNAcentral is "partial 16S ribosomal RNA". It matches the Rfam family "Bacterial small subunit ribosomal RNA", at positions 28 to 507 of the family's 1533-position model. The record is from RNAcentral.